Molecule: ribosomal RNA, 908 nt
Filed under: Flavoparmelia haywardiana
Lineage: Eukaryota; Fungi; Ascomycota; Lecanoromycetes; Lecanorales; Parmeliaceae
Description: eukaryotic LSU rRNA
Rfam family: Eukaryotic large subunit ribosomal RNA
Source: RNAcentral
GGGAUUGCCUCAGUAACGGCGAGUGAAGCGGCAACAGCUCAAAUUUGAAAUCUGGCUCCUCUCGGGGUCCGAGUUGUAAUUUGUAGAGAGUGCUUCGGGGGAGACCGCGGUCUAAGUCCAUUGGAACAUGGCGUCAAAGAGGGUGAGAAUCCCGUCUGUGACCGCGGAUCGAGCCCAUGUGAAGCCUCUUCGACGAGUCGAGUUGUUUGGGAAUGCAGCUCAAAAUGGGUGGUAAAUUUCAUCUAAAGCUAAAUACUGGCUGGAGACCGAUAGCGCACAAGUAGAGUGAUCGAAAGAUGAAAAGCACUUUGGAAAGAGAGUUAAACAGUACGUGAAAUUGUUGAAAGGGAAGCGCUUGCGACCAGACCUGCCCGUGGGCGAUCAGCCGCUGUUCUCAGCGGUGCACUCGUUCCACGAUCAGGCCAGCAUCGGUUUCGACGGUCGGAUAAAGGCCUUGGGAAUGUAGCUUCCCUUCGGGGGAGUCUUAUAGCCCUCGGUGCAAUGCGGCCAGCCGGGACCGAGGACCGCGCUUCGGCUAGGAUGCUGGCGUAAUGGUCGUAAGCGACCCGUCUUGAAACACGGACCAAGGAGUCUAACAUCUAUGCGAGUGUUUGGGUGUUAAACCCAUACGCGGAAUGAAAGUGAACGGAGGUGAGAACCCUUAAGGGCGCAUCAUCGACCGAUCCAGAUGUCUUCGGAUGGAUUUGAGUAUGAGCAUAGCUGUUGGGACCCGGUAUGUCUUUGACUCCUGCCUUCUAUUGUAGGACAUUUGCUAACAGUUUGAUUUUAGAAAGAUGGUGAACUAUGCCUGAAUAGGGUGAAGCCAGAGGAAACUCUGGUGGAGGCUCGCAGCGGUUCUGACGUGCAAAUCGAUCGUCAAAUUUGGGUAUAGGGGCGAAAGACUAAUC